AAGGAUCAUUAAUGAAAUUUAUGACUGGAGUUGAAGCUGGCCUUUAAAAACGGCAUGUGCACGCUCCUUUCACUAAUCCACACACACCUGUGCACCUUCGCGGGGGUCUCUUCGUUAACUCGAAGAGGCUCGCGUCCCUUUACACACCCUUUGUAUGUCUUAAGAAUGUCUACUCGAUGUAAUAAAACGCAUCUAAUACAACUUUCAACAACGGAUCUCUUGGCUCUCGCAUCGAUGAAGAACGCAGCGAAAUGCGAUAAGUAAUGUGAAUUGCAGAAUUCAGUGAAUCAUCGAAUCUUUGAACGCACCUUGCGCCCUUUGGUAUUCCGAAGGGCACACCUGUUUGAGUGUCGUGAAAUUCUCAACCCUCUUCACUUUUGUGGACGUAGUGGAUUGGACUUGGAGGCUUUGCCGGGCUUCACCGCUCGGCUCCUCUCAAAUGCAUUAGUGCGUCUUGUUGCGACGUGCGCCUCGGUGUGAUAAUUAUCUACGCUGUGGUGUGCUUGCUUCUGUGGAGACGCGCUUUCUAACCGUCCGAAAGGACAGCUUUCAUCGAACUUUGACCUCAAAUCAGGUGGGACUACCCGCUAACCUUAA
This 597-nucleotide ribosomal RNA is filed under the name Trametes hirsuta. RNAcentral describes it as "eukaryotic LSU rRNA". The stretch from base 200 to 353 matches the Rfam family "5.8S ribosomal RNA". Lineage: Eukaryota; Fungi; Basidiomycota; Agaricomycetes; Polyporales; Polyporaceae. The record is from RNAcentral.